AUGUAGUCCACGUCAAAGAUUCAGAAAGCAAUGAAGAAAUCAUUGACUCUCCACUGACGAUUGAUGAUAUUGAUG
Amphimedon queenslandica is the source of this 75-nucleotide long non-coding RNA. RefSeq lists it as uncharacterized. The transcript has 3 exons. Lineage: Eukaryota; Metazoa; Porifera; Demospongiae; Haplosclerida; Niphatidae. The record is from RefSeq and is a predicted model, not a curated record.